ACGCACGCUGGCGGCGUGCUUAACACAUGCAAGUCGAACGGAAAGGCCCUGCUUGCAGGGUCCUCGAGUGGCGAACGGGUGAGUAACACGUGGGUGAUCUGCCCUGCACUUCGGGAUAAGCCUGGGAAACUGGGUCUAAUACCGGAUAGGAGCCAUUUUUAGUGUGAUGGUUGGAAAGUUUUUUCGGUGUAGGAUGAGCUCGCGGCCUAUCAGCUUGUUGGUGGGGUAAUGGCCUACCAAGGCGGCGACGGGUAGCCGGCCUGAGAGGGUGGACGGCCACAUUGGGACUGAGAUACGGCCCAGACUCCUACGGGAGGCAGCAGUGGGGAAUAUUGCACAAUGGGCGCAAGCCUGAUGCAGCGACGCCGCGGGGGGGAUGACGGCCUUCGGGUUGUAAACUCCUUUCGCUAGGGACGAAGCUUUUUGUGACGGUACCUAGAGAAGAAGCACCGGCUAACUACGUG
RNAcentral lists this ribosomal RNA (464 nucleotides) under uncultured bacterium. RNAcentral describes it as "partial 16S ribosomal RNA". It matches the Rfam family "Bacterial small subunit ribosomal RNA", at positions 29 to 507 of the family's 1533-position model. The record is from RNAcentral.